This 492-nucleotide ribosomal RNA is filed under the name uncultured bacterium. RNAcentral describes it as "partial 16S ribosomal RNA". It matches the Rfam family "Bacterial small subunit ribosomal RNA", at positions 29 to 507 of the family's 1533-position model. The record is from RNAcentral.
AGUGAACGCUGGCGGUAGGCCUAACACAUGCAAGUCGAACGGCAGCACAGUAAGAGCUUGCUCUUACGGGUGGCGAGUGGCGGACGGGUGAGGAAUACAUCGGAAUCUACUUUUUCGUGGGGGAUAAUGUAGGGAAACUUACGCUAAUACCGCAUACGACCUACGGGUGAAAGCAGGGGAUCUUCGGACCUUGCGCGAUUGAAUGAGCCGAUGUCGGAUUAGCUAGUUGGCGGGGUAAAGGCCCACCAAGGCGACGAUCCGUAGCUGGUCUGAGAGGAUGAUCAGCCACACUGGAACUGAGACACGGUCCAGACUCCUACGGGAGGCAGCAGUGGGGAAUAUUGGACAAUGGGCGCAAGCCUGAUCCAGCCAUACCGCGUAGGUGAAGAAGGCCUUCGGGUUGUAAAGCCCUUUUGUUGGGAAAGAAAAGCAGCAGGUUAAUACCCCGCUGUUCUGACGGUACCCAAAGAAUAAGCACCGGCUAACUUCGUG